CUGGCAUUCAGGGCUGGACCUUUGAUGCUGUACUGCGCGGGCAUAGUGAGGAAAUGCGGAGGUUGUCGUCGCAGAUUAUCAACAGCACCCCUUCCCAAAAGAACAUGAGGUUUCUCUCAGUGACGAGCAAAAGCAAAACAGCCUGCACCCACCCUUUUCCACAGACAGACUUGAGACUCAGCACCCUAAGAAACACACCCCAAAGACACCAACACAGCAAGAGGAGUGACUGUAACCUCAAUAGCAUGCUGUGUUGGAGUGGAAAAAAGGGCGAGACUGUACGAGCGAAGUUCUGCACUGUAUCAAAAGCACCAACUGAAACAGAAAGCAGCAUAGUGAAAGACAUACAAGAUGAGCUGCACAGACACAGGUUUACUCAAGAGCCGCCACAAGGUUAAUCCCCAAGCGCACAGCAGCCCAAAUCCUACCACAUGCACUUCCAGAAGGAAGAAUCAGUGACAUUCCCAAUAAGGCCACUCUGCAAGGACCCCAACAGGAAAAAGUGCCAAUUAACACCAAGUGUAAUAAGGGCAGUAGGCUACGUGGAUAGAUACCUGCCUGCAGGCAAUCAGACAGGAGAAAUUCACCUCUCAUUGGGUGGAUUCUGGGUGACCUACAUUACCUCACAAGGAGCAGG
Molecule: long non-coding RNA, 637 nt
Organism: Gallus gallus (chicken)
Lineage: Eukaryota; Metazoa; Chordata; Aves; Galliformes; Phasianidae
Source: Ensembl